GACGAACGCUGGCGGCGUGCUUAACACAUGCAAGUCGAGCGGUAAGGCCCUUUCGGGGGUACACGAGCGGCGAACGGGUGAGUAACACGUGGGUGACCUGCCCUCAGCUCUGGGAUAAGCCUGGGAAACCGGGUCUAAUACUGGAUAUGACUCCAUGACGCAUGUUGUGGGGUGGAAAGCCUUGUGCGGCUGAGGAUGGGCCCGCGGCCUAUCAGCUUGUUGGUGGGGUGANGGCCUACCAAGGCGACGACGGGUAGCCGGCCUGAGAGGGCGACCGGCCACACUGGGACCGAGACACGGCCCAGGCUCCUACGGGAGGCAGCAGUGGGGAAUCUUGCGCAAUGGGCGAAAGCCUGACGCAGCGACGCCGCGUGA
Molecule: ribosomal RNA, 375 nt
Filed under: uncultured bacterium
Lineage: Bacteria
Description: bacterial SSU rRNA
Rfam family: Bacterial small subunit ribosomal RNA
Source: RNAcentral